ACAGCCCAAGUACGAGCGGACGGCAGGAUGGGUGGAGGCAGCAAUGCAAUGGAGUGAGGAGAGGAAGUGUGGACUAUGGAAAUGAUGUUAGACAAAAAGCAAAUUCAAGCAAUAUUCUUAUUUGAGUUCGAAAUGGGUCAUAAAGACAACUCACAACAUCAACAAUGCAUUUGGUCUGAGAACUGCUAAUGAAUGUACAGUGCAAUGGUGGUUCAAGAAGUUUUGCCAAGGAGAUGAGAGCCUUGAAGAUGAGGAGCGUAGUGGCUGGCCAUUGGAAAGUGACAACGACCAUUUGAGAGUAGUCAUUGAAGCUGAUCCUCUUACAAGUACAAGAGAAGUUGCCCAAGAACUCAGUGUCAAUCAUUCUAUAGUGUUCAGCAUUUGAAGCAAAUUGGAAAGGUGAAAAAGGUCAAUAAGUGGGUGCCUCAUGAGCUGACUGAAAAUACAAAAAUCAUCUUUUUGAAGUGUCAUCUUCCAUUGUUCUAUGCAACAACAACAAACUAUUUCUCGAUCAGAUUGUGAUAUGCAACGAAAAGUGGAUUUUAUAUGACAACUGGCAAUGACCAGCUCAGUGGCUGGCCUGAGAAGAAGUUCCAAAGCACUUCCCAAAGCCAAGCUUGCACCAAAAAAAGGUCAUGGCCACUGUUUGGUGGUCUGUUGCUGGUCUGAUCCACUACAGCUUUCUGAAUCUCACUGCAACUGUUACAUCUGAGAAGUAUGCUCAGCAAAUCAAUGAGAUGCACUGAAAACUGCAAUGCCUGCAGCUAGCACUGGUCAACAAAAAGGGCCCAAUUCUUUUCCACAACGCCUGACUGCACAUCACACAACCAGUGCAUCAGAAGUUGAAUGAAUUGGGCCAUGAAGUUUUGCCUCAACCGCCACAUUCAUCUGACCUCUGCCAACCAACUACUACUUCCUCAAGCAUCUCAACAACUUUUUGCAGGGAAAAUGCUUCCACAACCAGCAGGAUGCAGAAAAUGCUUUUCAAGAGUUCAUUGAAUCCUGAAGCACGGAUUUCUAUACUACAGUAAUGAAAAAAUGUAUUUCUCAUUGGCAAAAAUGUGUGGAUUGUAAUGGUUCCUAUUCUGAUUAAUAAAGAUGUGUUUAAGCCUCGUUAUAAUGAUUUAAAAUUCAAUUACUUUUGCACCAAACUAAGACAGGAACUUUGAGAUCUCUAAUCUUAUUACACUUUUCCGUAUUAUUCUCUUACAAUGUUUAAAAUCAAAACAUAUUUGGUCAUUUGACCUAGAGAAAGAGAAUUCAUCAUGUCUUCUUGCGAAUAACUCCCUGAGAGGACACAGCCCAUACCUUGUCUCCUGCAGCGCCGCAUAGU
Molecule: long non-coding RNA, 1333 nt
Filed under: Homo sapiens (human)
Lineage: Eukaryota; Metazoa; Chordata; Mammalia; Primates; Hominidae
Description: HSALNT0328831
Source: RNAcentral